Molecule: non-coding RNA, 130 nt
Organism: Candidatus Ryanbacteria bacterium
Lineage: Bacteria; Candidatus Ryaniibacteriota
Source: Rfam
GUGGUGUCUAAUAAGAGCAUAUGGUGGAUGCCUAGGCUUUGAGAGGCGAUGAAGGACGUGGCGUGACUGCGAUAAGCUUCGGGGAGGUGUCUAGCAACCUUUGAUCCGGAGAUUUCCGAAUGGGGAAACC